Molecule: transfer RNA, 74 nt
Filed under: Epiplatys lamottei (redspotted panchax)
Lineage: Eukaryota; Metazoa; Chordata; Actinopteri; Cyprinodontiformes; Nothobranchiidae
Description: tRNA-Leu
Rfam family: tRNA
About the family: Transfer RNA (tRNA) molecules are approximately 80 nucleotides in length.
Source: RNAcentral
GCUUAGGUGGCAGAGCCCGGAUAAUGCAAAAGACCUAAGCCCUUUUAACAGGGGUUCAAAUCCCCUCCUAAACU